This 253-nucleotide ribosomal RNA is filed under the name uncultured bacterium. Its description in RNAcentral is "partial 16S ribosomal RNA". It matches the Rfam family "Bacterial small subunit ribosomal RNA", at positions 524 to 776 of the family's 1533-position model. The record is from RNAcentral.
GACAGAGGUGCCAAGCGUUAGGCGGAAUCACUGGGCUUAAAGCGUGUGUAGGCGGAUUUGUAAGUACCUUGUGAGAUCCCACAGCUCAACUGUGGAACUGCUGGGUAUACUGCUUAUCUUGAGCCACUUAGGGGCUGUCGGAACAAAUGGUGGAGCGGUGAAAUGCGUAGAUAUCAUUUGGAACGCCAACGGUGAAAACAGACAGCUGGGAGUGUGCUGACGCUGGGACACGAAAGCCAGGGGAGCGAACGGG